RNAcentral lists this ribosomal RNA (253 nucleotides) under uncultured bacterium. RNAcentral's name for it is "partial 16S ribosomal RNA". It matches the Rfam family "Bacterial small subunit ribosomal RNA", at positions 524 to 776 of the family's 1533-position model. The record is from RNAcentral.
GACGUAGGGCGCGAGCGUUGUCCGGAUUUAUUGGGCGUAAAGAGCUCGUAGGCGGCUUGUCGCGUCGUUCGUGAAAACCUGCAGCUCAACUGCAGGCUUGCGGUCGAUACGGGCAGGCUAGAGUUCGGUAGGGGAGACUGGAAUUCCUGGUGUAGCGGUGAAAUGCGCAGAUAUCGAGAGGAACACCUGCGGCGAAGGCGGGUUGCUGGGCUGACACUGACGCUGAAGCGCGAAAGCUAGGGGAGCGAACGGG